Molecule: ribosomal RNA, 505 nt
Filed under: uncultured bacterium
Lineage: Bacteria
Description: bacterial SSU rRNA
Rfam family: Bacterial small subunit ribosomal RNA
Source: RNAcentral
CUGGCUCAGGAUGAACGCUGGCGGCGUGCCUAAUACAUGCAAGUCGAACGAGGGUGCUUGCACCCUAGUGGCGAACGGGUGAGUAACACGUAGGUAACCUGCCCUUAAGCUUGGGAUACCCAGAGGAAACUUUGGCUAAUACCGGAUAACAACAGAAGAGGCAUCUCUUCAGUUUGAAAGGCCCUGUAAGGGGUCACUUAAGGAUGGACCUGCGGCGCAUUAGCUAGUUGGUGAGAUAAAAGCCCACCAAGGCGAGGAUGCGUAGCCGACCUGAGAGGGUGAUCGGCCACAUUGGAACUGAGACACGGUCCAAACUCCUACGGGAGGCAGCAGUAAGGAGUUUUCGGCAAUGGGGGAAACCCUGACCGAGCAACGCCGCGUGAGUGAUGACGGCCCUAUGGGUUGUAAAGCUCUGUUGUAAGGGACGAAUGAUUCGCUUAGGAAAUGAAGCGGAUUUGACGGUACCUUACCAGAAGGCCACGGCUAACUACGUGCCAGCAGCAGC